UUCGUCACACUAUCAUUAACUGAAUCCAUAGGUUAAUGAGGCGAACCGGGGGAACUGAAACAUCUAAGUACCCCGAGGAAAAGAAAUCAACCGAGAUUCCCCCAGUAGCGGCGAGCGAACGGGGAGCAGCCCAGAGCCUGAAUCAGUGUGUGUGUUAGUGGAAGCGUCUGGAAAGGCGCGCGAUACAGGGUGACAGCCCCGUACACAAAAAUGCACAUGCUGUGAGCUCGAUGAGUAGGGCGGGACACGUGGUAUCCUGUCUGAAUAUGGGGGGACCAUCCUCCAAGGCUAAAUACUCCUGACUGACCGAUAGUGAACCAGUACCGUGAGGGAAAGGCGAAAAGAACCCCGGCGAGGGGAGUGAAAAAGAACCUGAAACCGUGUACGUACAAGCAGUGGGAGCACAGAGCAAUCUGUGUGACUGCGUACCUUUUGUAUAAUGGGUCAGCGACUUAUAUUCUGUAGCAAGGUUAACCGAAUAGGGGAGCCGAAGGGAAACCGAGUCUUAACUGGGCGUUAAGUUGCAGGGUAUAGACCCGAAACCCGGUGAUCUAGCCAUGGGCAGGUUGAAGGUUGGGUAACACUAACUGGAGGACCGAACCGACUAAUGUUGAAAAAUUAGCGGAUGACUUGUGGCUGGGGGUGAAAGGCCAAUCAAACCGGGAGAUAGCUGGUUCUCCCCGAAAGCUAUUUAGGUAGCGCCUCGUGAAUUCAUCUCCGGGGGUAGAGCACUGUUUCGGCAAGGGGGUCAUCCCGA
RNAcentral lists this ribosomal RNA (757 nucleotides) under Escherichia coli. RNAcentral describes it as "partial 23S ribosomal RNA". It matches the Rfam family "Bacterial large subunit ribosomal RNA", at positions 139 to 934 of the family's 2925-position model. Lineage: Bacteria; Pseudomonadati; Pseudomonadota; Gammaproteobacteria; Enterobacterales; Enterobacteriaceae. The record is from RNAcentral.